UUGUUUGUUCACUUCCAGGUAGAUGGAUAUACGGUUGUUUAUAGCAAAGCAUGAGUAGAAAUGGUUGCAAAUGUGCAAAUAAAGGUGUAUAGUAGAAUCACAUAUCUUUUUGUUUGUUAUACAUCUAUUUCAAGCAGACCAGCUGUUGAUUUCUCUUCAUUGGCUUUGGUUUCAUCAUGCCUUUGUUUACACUCAGGCACUCAGCAGAUCAGUUGUGGUGUGACACCUAUUUAAUGGCGUGUUUAAUGCUCUCACAAACCCAUGAUCAAAGAACGACCAUAUAUUGAUAUGCAUAAGUUUAUAAGUUGUUUAUUGACCUUUAUGCAGUUUUGUGUCUUCAGUGCAGAUGAUCGCGCCGUGAUUUUGCCAUGUAAGGACCUGGAAAAUGAACCAAUGGUAGUUCUUGGAGGGUAAACUCUGUCCAUCGUUGUUCUCUUUGUACAUACCCAUUGAGACAAACAAUAUUAUUUUGCGUCUACUCUUUAUUCACUUACUUCAAUAUGUCUUAGAUUAAUCGAAGCAAUAUUUUUUUCUUGAAUAUGUUGAUACAAUUUUAUGUGCAUUUAUUUUGAAAGUGCAUAUUUUCCCAUGGCAUGAAGGUCUUAGAUAUAUCAGGGUGAGCACAACAAAAAGCAUUGCAAGUCGUUCAUUUGAUUUAAGCGUAGUUGGUAAUGUAUUACACCAAUCAUAAUAUAAUAAUGAACGACAUUGUGAUCUUACGUCGCUGCAAAGCGCAUGAUUACUUCAAGUGAAUAUUAAAUCUGAGUACUUUGUAGUGAUUGCAAGUGGCAUUUUGGUUCUUAGGACAUUCUGAUUAUGAGUACUUUGUAGAGCUUCAAAGAAGCUUGAAGAAAUUAAUAUUUUUUUCGCAAGCAAUUUAUUCGAUUUUUUAAUGCACACUGCACAUAUCAUAUAUUGGUUCAUACUAUUUCAUCUUAAUCCAUUUAUACUUAAAAAUAGUCUAUUGAAACUGAACUGGAAUAUUUUGUGUAGUUCUGUCAACAUCAAGAUGCGGUACCUGAUGUCCAUGCAGAGUGGAGAAAUGACUUGAGUAGGGCUAGUGAUCGCCUCCUUGUUGUUCAUCUAAUUUGAAAGUAUCUCUGCCUUGGGCAUGGAAAGUGAUAAUUCAAUUUUCUUUUGUUGUGAACAAAUUUGAAUGAUGAUAGCACAUGAAAACGAUUUAGGCCAACAGUUGAUCUCAAUGAGAUGUGGACUGAUCGGUAUCUGAACCCUUGUGAACUGAUGGUUUUAUGUAUUUGUUUAUAUGAAUUGUGAGAUUUUAUGUAUUUGUUUUUUUAGAAAUUUGUGGAAUUCUUAUCUGUGGUCCAUUGUUAUCGGUAGAAUUUUGUAUGAAUGCUUUGAAAUUUUGUAUGUACAGAUCUGUUG
RNAcentral lists this long non-coding RNA (1386 nucleotides) under Triticum aestivum (bread wheat). RNAcentral's name for it is "long non-coding RNA (TAES_LNC025878)". Lineage: Eukaryota; Viridiplantae; Streptophyta; Magnoliopsida; Poales; Poaceae. The record is from RNAcentral.